This 973-nucleotide ribosomal RNA is filed under the name Levilactobacillus namurensis. Its description in RNAcentral is "bacterial SSU rRNA". It matches the Rfam family "Bacterial small subunit ribosomal RNA", at positions 57 to 1002 of the family's 1533-position model. The record is from RNAcentral. Lineage: Bacteria; Bacillati; Bacillota; Bacilli; Lactobacillales; Lactobacillaceae.
ACGAGUUCCCGUUGAUUGACGUGCUUGCACUGAUUUCAACAUUGGAACGAGUGGCGAACUGGUGAGUAACACGUGGAAAACCUGCCCAGAAGCAGGGGAUAACACUUGGAAACAGGUGCUAAUACCGUAUAACAACAAAAACCGCAUGGUUUUUGUUUGAAAGGUGGCUUCGGCUAUCACUUCUGGAUGGUUCCGCGGCGCAUUAGCUUGUUGGUGGGGUAACGGCUCACCAAGGCGAUGAUGCGUAGCCGACCUGAGAGGGUAAUCGGCCACAUUGGGACUGAGACACGGCCCAGACUCCUACGGGAGGCAGCAGUAGGGAAUCUUCCACAAUGGACGCAAGUCUGAUGGAGCAAUGCCGCGUGAGUGAAGAAGGGUUUCGGCUCGUAAAACUCUGUUGUUGAAGAAGAACGGGUGUCAGAGUAACUGUUGACAUCGUGACGGUAUUCAACCAGAAAGCCACGGCUAACUACGUGCCAGCAGCCGCGGUAAUACGUAGGUGGCAAGCGUUGUCCGGAUUUAUUGGGCGUAAAGCGAGCGCAGGCGGUUUCUUAAGUCUGAUGUGAAAGCCUUCGGCUUAACCGAAGAAGUGCAUCGGAAACUGGGGAACUUGAGUGCAGAAGAGGACAGUGGAACUCCAGGUGUAGCGGUGGAAUGCGUAGAUAUAUGGAAGAACACCAGUGGCGAAGGCGGCUGUCUAGUCUGCAACUGACGCUGAGGCUCGAAAGCAUGGGUAGCGAACAGGAUUAGAUACCCUGGUAGUCCAUGCCGUAAACGAUGAGUGCUAGGUGUUUGAAGGGUUUCCGCCCUUCAGUGCCGCAGCUAACGCAUUAAGCACUCCGCCUGGGGAGUACGACCGCAAGGUUGAAACUCAAAGGAAUUGACGGGGGCCCGCACAAGCGGUGGAGCAUGUGGUUUAAUUCGAAGCUACGCGAAGAACCUUACCAGGUCUUGACAUCUUCUGCCAAUCUUA